This 609-nucleotide ribosomal RNA is filed under the name uncultured archaeon. RNAcentral describes it as "bacterial SSU rRNA". It matches the Rfam family "Archaeal small subunit ribosomal RNA", at positions 319 to 928 of the family's 1478-position model. The record is from RNAcentral.
GGCCCUACGGGGUGCAGCAGGCGCGAAACCUCCGCAAUGUGAGAAAUCGCGACGGGGGGAUCCCAAGUGCCAUUCUUAACGGGAUGGCUUUUCAUUAGUGUAAAGAGCUUUUGGAAUAAGGGCUGGGCAAGACCGGUGCCAGCCGCCGCGGUAACACCGGCAGCUCUAGUGGUAGCAGUUUUUAUUGGGCCUAAAGCGUCCGUAGCCGGUUUAAUAAGUCUCUGGUGAAAUCCUGUAGCUUAACUGUGGGAAUUGCUGGAGAUACUAUUAGACUUGAGACCGGGAGAGGUUAGAGGUACUCCCAGGGUAGAGGUGAAAUUCUGUAAUCCUGGGAGGACCGCCUGUUGCGAAGGCGUCUAACUGGAACGGUUCUGACGGUGAGGGACGAAAGUUAGGGGCGCGAACCGGAUUAGAUACCCGGGUAGUCCCAGCUGUAAACGAUGCAGGCUAGGUGUUUGGACGGCCACGUGCCGUUCUAGUGCCGCAGGGAAGCUGUUAAGCCUGCCGCCUGGGGAGUACGAUCGCAAGAUUGAAACUUAAAGGAAUUGGCGGGGGAGCACCACAAGGGGUGAAGCUUGCGGUUUAAUUGGAGUCAACGCCGGAAAUCUC